Molecule: non-coding RNA, 1441 nt
Organism: Monodelphis domestica (gray short-tailed opossum)
Lineage: Eukaryota; Metazoa; Chordata; Mammalia; Didelphimorphia; Didelphidae
Source: RefSeq, a predicted model, not a curated record
UCUUUUGCGUUUAUAUCCUUUCUAUUUUACAAUAUAUACUUUCUUCCUCCUACCCAAUCAUCCCUUAUAAUAAGUAAAAAAAAAAGGUUAAGGUAAAUUAUGACAUUGUCCAUGAUUCAUAUCUGCACUGUUCUAUAUUCAUACAUUCAGAAAUGCACAAACAAACACACACAUGCACAUGCACAUGUAAGUUCUGACAAGGACAGGUCAAUUCCUAGUUUCACAAGGCUAUCUUGUGUUACCAAACAACACAUAAAUAAAGCCAUUAUAUGUUCCCCCUGUUCCCAUCAAGUUUUUUAAAAAUGGAAUGUUCUCUCUCCUCAUCUCUGCUUCUUGGAAUUCCUCAUUUCCUUCAGUAUUCAGCCCAACUGCCAUAUUCUGUAAUGGGUCUUGCCCUUUAUAUCCCCUACCCUACUGGGCUCAUCAUAACUUCUUUUUGUAGGAAAUCUUGAUUCUACUCUGUAUGCACCAUAUGGCCCACAAACUGGCAGAGAGCUGAAACUUCAAACAUUUCAAGCUUCAGAGGACUUUCCAGAGGUUACAUUUCACCAUGAAAGCCAUUGUGAGCCCAAAGUCAUUGUCAAGUUAUGAUGAAACAUCAGGGAAGAACUUCAGUCUUCAUGUAGAGGGUAUUUAUGAAAGAAUGGGAUAAAAUAAAGUACAGUUAUAUAGUGUUUUAAUGUUGUAGCCUACAUACUCUGAAUCUAACAACAAUCCUUUGAGAUAAGUGUUCUUAUUAUCUUCACUUUACAACUAAGAUCCUUGAGACUGAGAAAAGUCUCAACUUUUCUAAGGUCAUUCAGCUAGUAAGUGUCUUACUGAAGUUUAGAAUUUAGGUCUUUCUAACUCUUUGCCCAAUUAUUUUAUCUACUCUACCAAGUUCUUCAUGAAUAAAUAUCAGAACUAGGAGUGGAAAAAUUGAGAAUUUAGUUAAGGAGAAAUGUAGGGAGAAAAAGAAGGGCUAUUGUUUUGAGAGUGUACAGAAAGAGAAAUGAGAAAAGGACUUUAAGUCACAGAUCAAUCUCUGCUUAGAGGAUUGCCUUACCUAUGAUGAGGAUUUAAUCAACUGGAAAUCUGUUCCAUAUUACUUUGAGGGGAAAAAAAAAACAAAAAAACAAAAGCUGGUUAAUUCAGAAUAUAUGGCCAUUAUCCUUUCAUUCAUCUUCUCCGAAACUAGAAAAUGUAGGGAAACAAGAAAAGACUGGUUACUGUGAAUUUCAAAACUGUUCCACCCUAAUCAGACCAUUCUUUAGAAGAUCUGAUUUAGCUAUUUCCUGAUCAAUAACAAUAGAGAUACUUGGAAUAAGAGAAUGAAGUCUUGGAAAUGCACAUUCUCCAUGCUACUCAGUGUAACAAGAUUAGGAAGAGCUUCAUGAAACUCAAGAUUUAGUUAUUUGAGAAAAUGGCCUUCCACAGACUUGUGCAAAAAAAAAAAAAAAGA